Drosophila pseudoobscura is the source of this 681-nucleotide long non-coding RNA. RefSeq lists it as uncharacterized. The record is from RefSeq and is a predicted model, not a curated record. The transcript has 2 exons. Lineage: Eukaryota; Metazoa; Arthropoda; Insecta; Diptera; Drosophilidae.
UGACGAACUGUGAGUAACAGCAUGCUUUUCAAUAUUAUUCAAUAUAUAAAAUUGCUAAAAGUCAAAUAAUUAAUUUGCUGCACCUAUGUACAUUUUGAAUUUAAUGUGGCUAGAAAGACCUGUCUUUAACGGAACGUCUUAUGCGGAAAAAAGUAUAUCUUGCCAUAACGUUCCGAUAACCAAAUCAGGCUGUGCCGGCUGAUCGCACGAAAACUAACAGAGUUGUUGCCUUACCAAUUAUUUCCGAUCCAAUUUUGAGGUUGGGUUGCAAAAAAUAUUUAUAAAGAAGGCAUGUGUUGAAUUGCCCUGGUAGUGCUGAAAUAUUUAUGCCGUUUACUUUUAAUUUCAGCGGGGAAAAUGUUUCUGUUUUAAAAACGGAGAGACGUUGCUUUUAUGAGAACUGGACCACCAAUUUAUAUGUUUUCAAAGGUAAAUCGGAGAAUUUUUGUGAAAGUGAAAGUCGGAACCUGCCUGAUUAUUUUACCAUGACAUAAUUAUUCGGCUAAAAGCCUUCCCGUGGCAGCAUAAAGAGAAGCAUAUCUCGCAUGUUAUCACUUGUUUGCUUCUGCCUUGCGCUCUUAAUUUCUGCAUUCCGACGAGAGCUGUGAAAGAAGCCCAUCGGCCAGGCAGAAAACACAUCUAAACCGAUAGAAGCAAAAACAAAUAAAUUACCUAAUCGAA